This 1948-nucleotide ribosomal RNA is filed under the name human oral metagenome. RNAcentral describes it as "bacterial LSU rRNA". It matches the Rfam family "Bacterial large subunit ribosomal RNA", at positions 1113 to 2925 of the family's 2925-position model. The record is from RNAcentral.
CAGCCAUCCUUGAAAGAGUGCGUAAUAGCUCACUGGUCAAGUGAUUCUGCGCCGACAAUUCAGCGGGGCUCAAGUUAUCCGCCGAAGCUGUGGCAUUCACGCGUUGUGGCCGGAAGGUUGCGUGGAUGGGUAGGGGAGCGUCGUGUGCGUGUUGAAGCGGUGGGGUGACCUGGUCGUGGAGUGCAUACGAGUGAGAAUGCAGGCAUGAGUAGCGAAUGACGGGUGAGAAACCCGUCCGCCGAAUAUCCAAGGGUUCCAGGGUCAAGUUAAUCUGCCCUGGGUUAGUCGGGACCUAAGGCGAGGCCGACAGGCGUAGUCGAUGGACAACGGGUUGAUAUUCCCGUACCGGCGAAACAACGUCCGUGCUGGGGCACGCGAUGCUAAGCAUGCGAGACUGUCUGCUGCCUUUCGGGGUGGUGGGUGGUUGAGUCUGUGAUCCGAGUGUGUAGUAGGCAAGCCGCGGAGGGACGCAGGAAGGUAGCUCAUCCUCAGCGUUGGUUGUCUGAGGCUAAGUGUGUAGGGUGGGGUGUAGGUAAAUCCGCAUUCCGUGAUGCCUGAGACACGAUGGGCCUGCACCGUUUGGGUGUGGGUUGAGUGAUCCUAUGCUGCCUAGAAAAGCUUCGUUGGCGAGUUGUUAGCCGCCCGUACCCUAAACCGACACAGGUGGAUAGGUAGAGAAUACCGAGGCGAUCGGGAUAAUCGUGGUGAAGGAACUCGGCAAAAUACCCCCGUAACUUCGGGAUAAGGGGGACCUGAUACGUGACCAGCCUUGCGUUGUGAGCGUUGAGGGUCGCAGAGACCAGGCCCAAGCGACUGUUUACUAAAAACACAGGUCCGUGCCAACUCGUAAGAGGAUGUAUACGGACUGACUCCUGCCCGGUGCUGGAAGGUUAAGGGGAACUGUCAGCCGCAUUUUGUGUGGUGAAGCGGUGAACUUAAGCCCCAGUAAACGGCGGUGGUAACUAUAACCAUCCUAAGGUAGCGAAAUUCCUUGUCGGGUAAGUUCCGACCUGCACGAAUGGAGUAACGAUUUGGGCGCUGUCUCCACCACGAACCCGGUGAAAUUGCAUUACGAGUAAAGAUGCUCGUUACGCGCAGCAGGACGGAAAGACCCCGGGACCUUUACUACAGUUUGGUAUUGGUGAUCGGUGUGACUUGUGUAGGAUAGGUGGGAGACUUUGAAACCGGGACGCCAGUUCCGGUGGAGUCGUCGUUGAAAUACCACUCUGGUCAUUCUGGUUAUCUAACCUAGGACCGUUAUCCGGUUCAGGGACAGUGCCUGAUGGGUAGUUUGACUGGGGCGGUCGCCUCCUAAAAGGUAACGGAGGCGCCCAAAGGUUCCCUCAGCCUGGUUGGCAAUCAGGUUUCGAGUGUAAGUGCACAAGGGAGCUUGACUGUGAGACCGACGGGUCGAGCAGGGACGAAAGUCGGGACUAGUGAUCUUCUGGUAGCGAAUGGAAGCGCCAGGACUCAACGGAUAAAAGGUACCCCGGGGAUAACAGGCUGAUCUUGCCCGAGCGUCCAUAGCGACGGCAUGGUUUGGCACCUCGAUGUCGGCUCGUCGCAUCCUGGGGCUGGAGUCGGUCCCAAGGGUUGGGCUGUUCGCCCAUUAAAGCGGCACGCGAGCUGGGUUUAGAACGUCGUGAGACAGUUCGGUCCCUAUCCGCUGCGCGCGUAGGAGUCUUGAGAAGGGCUGUCCUUAGUACGAGAGGACCGGGACGGACCAACCUCUGGUGUGCCAGUUGUUCCGCCAGGAGCACGGCUGGUUGGCUACGUUGGGAAGUGAUAACCGCUGAAAGCAUCUAAGCGGGAAGCACGCUUCAAGAUGAGGACUCCCACACCGUCAAGGUGGUAAGGCCCCCCGCAGACCACGGGGUUGAUAGGUCGGACGUGGAAGCACAGUAAUGUGUGAAGCUGACCGAUACUAAUAGGCCGAGGGCUUGCCACA